RNAcentral lists this ribosomal RNA (440 nucleotides) under uncultured bacterium. RNAcentral's name for it is "partial 16S ribosomal RNA". It matches the Rfam family "Bacterial small subunit ribosomal RNA", at positions 338 to 795 of the family's 1533-position model. The record is from RNAcentral.
CCUACGGGAGGCAGCAGUGGGGGAUAUUGCACAAUGGGGGAAACCCUGAUGCAGCGACGCCGCGUGGGUGAAGAAGCGCCUCGGCGCGUAAAGCCCUGUCAGCAGGGAAGAAAAUGACGGUACCUGAAGAAGAAGCCACGGCUAACUACGUGCCAGCAGCCGCGGUAAUACGUAGGGGGCAAGCGUUAUCCGGAUUUACUGGGAGUAAAGGGGGGGAGGACGGCGAUGCAAGCGAGGAGUGAAAGCCCGGGGCCCAACCCCGGGACUGCUCUUGGAACUGCGUGGCUAGAGUGCAGGAGGGGCAGGCGGAAUUCCUGGUGUAGCGGUGAAAUGCGUAGAUAUCAGGAGGAACACCGGUGGCGAAGGCGGCCUGCUGGACUGCAACUGACGUUGAGGCCCGAAAGCGUGGGGAGCAAACAGGAUUAGAUACCCGAGUAGUC